CAGUCGCCGCGGGAAUACGGAGGGUGCAAGCGUUAUCCGGAUUUAUUGGGUUUAAAGGGUCCGUAGGCGGACUUAUAAGUCAGUGGUGAAAGCCUGUCGCUUAACGAUAGAACUGCCAUUGAUACUGUAAGUCUUGAGUAUAUUUGAGGUAGCUGGAAUAAGUAGUGUAGCGGUGAAAUGCAUAGAUAUUACUUAGAACACCAAUUGCGAAGGCAGGUUACCAAGAUAUAACUGACGCUGAGGGACGAAAGCGUGGGUAGCGAACAGGAUUAGAUACCCGCGUAGUCCCUGUCUCUUAUAA
RNAcentral lists this ribosomal RNA (301 nucleotides) under uncultured bacterium. Its description in RNAcentral is "partial 16S ribosomal RNA". It matches the Rfam family "Bacterial small subunit ribosomal RNA", at positions 509 to 809 of the family's 1533-position model. The record is from RNAcentral.